GGGUAUAGCUCAGUUGGUAGAGCAGCGGUCUCCAAAACCGCGUGCCGUGGGUUCAAGUCCUACUACCC
This 68-nucleotide transfer RNA is filed under the name uncultured Eubacterium sp. It matches the Rfam family "tRNA". From Rfam's summary of the family: Transfer RNA (tRNA) molecules are approximately 80 nucleotides in length. Their secondary structure includes four short double-helical elements and three loops (D, anti-codon, and T loops). Further hydrogen bonds mediate the characteristic L-shaped molecular structure. tRNAs have two regions of fundamental functional importance: the anti-codon, which is responsible for specific mRNA codon recognition, and the 3' end, to which the tRNAs corresponding amino acid is attached (by aminoacyl-tRNA synthetases). tRNAs cope with the degeneracy of the genetic code in two manners: having more than one tRNA (with a specific anti-codon) for a particular amino acid; and 'wobble' base-pairing, i.e. permitting non-standard base-pairing at the 3rd anti-codon position. The record is from RNAcentral. Lineage: Bacteria; Bacillati; Bacillota; Clostridia; Eubacteriales; Eubacteriaceae.